UAGAGUUUGAUCCUGGCUCAGGACGAACGCUGGCGGCGUGCCUAACACAUGCAAGUCGAGCGAUGAAGUUCCUUCGGGAAUGGAUUAGCGGCGGACGGGUGAGUAACACGUGGGCAACCUGCCUCAAAGUGGGGGAUAGCCUCCCGAAAGGGAGAUUAAUACCGCAUAACAUUAUCUCUUUGCAUGAAGAGAUAAUCAAAGGAGCAAUCCGCUUUGAGAUGGGCCCGCGGCGCAUUAGCUAGUUGGUGAGGUAACGGCUCACCAAGGCGACGAUGCGUAGCCGACCUGAGAGGGUGAUCGGCCACAUUGGAACUGAGAUACGGUCCAGACUCCUACGGGAGGCAGCAGUGGGGAAUAUUGCGCAAUGGGGGAAACCCUGACGCAGCAACGCCGCGUGAGUGAUGAAGGUCUUCGGAUUGUAAAACUCUGUCUUUGGGGACGAUAAUGACGGUACCCGAGGAGGAAGCCACGGCUAACUACGUGCCAGCAGCCGCGGUAAUACGUAGGUGGCAAGCGUUGUCCGGAUUUACUGGGCGUAAAGAGUAUGUAGGCGGACAUUUAAGUCAGAUGUGAAAUCCCCGGGCUUAACCUGGGAGCUGCAUUUGAUACUGGGUGUCUAGAGUGUAGGAGAGGAAAGUGGAAUUCCUAGUGUAGCGGUGAAAUGCGUAGAGAUUAGGAAGAACACCAGUGGCGAAGGCGACUUUCUGGACUAUAACUGACGCUGAGAUACGAAAGCGUGGGGAGCAAACA
This 750-nucleotide ribosomal RNA is filed under the name bacterium enrichment culture clone 4-46. RNAcentral's name for it is "bacterial SSU rRNA". It matches the Rfam family "Bacterial small subunit ribosomal RNA", at positions 1 to 774 of the family's 1533-position model. The record is from RNAcentral.